AGAUGGCGAGUGGGUGCGAGUGAGAAUGAGUGGCUACAUGUUGCAAAAAAGCAAAACAUCUACAUCGAAUGCGUUGAGUGACAUGCCAACAUAACUUCUGUGUUAUUGGAGCUGUCGUCUUCAGAAAACUACUUCAAAUGACAACAACAAAAAAAAAAAAAAAACUUGAUGUCUGCCCAGGGAGAACCAAGGACAUUCAAAAAUAAGAAAUCAAGAGAUCUUGAUAUAUUACAACAAGAUGCAGAAAUGAAAAUAACUUUGAUUAUGAACUGAGAUGAACCACAAACCAUCACAAUUCUGCGGUCCUUCGACUAGAGAGGGCGCCACCCUCAAUGAGCCCCUCCCCCAAUCGGCCACGCUAUCAGACAUGUGUGUGAAUGGACCCAUUGUGUAUGUCUGGACUCAGUGCUGAGGAGCCAGGUUCAUCUCCUCCAACGAGACGUCCCAAUGGGGCACCACCCCCGCCCUCCCCCUCCCCGGUGGGUAGGGCCAGGAGUCCGACUGCGCGUGUCGCAUGUACGAGAGAAUGGACGGAUGAGUUGUGUGUGCUUGGCUGCGUGCGUGACUGGGAGUGUGCAAGGCUGGGUGAGAACGCAUGCAGUGACGGGAAAAGAUUCAAAAACAUCUGAAGACAAACAAAAAUUGAGAAACGCAACACAUUUAGAAAAGGCUUCAGGAAAGAAAUUCGGCCUUGGAAAGAGGCCGAUGCUCUUAUACCUGAAAGGAAGAACUUUGGAUAUGGAGAAUUAAAAAAAAAUCGUCAUCACAAGGAUUAUUCUUUUUGUUUUGAAUUAUUGUUAAGUUAGUAUUAAUUGACACUGGACAAUGUUAAUGGCAGGUGUGCAGCAGCAGUGCAUUGAAUUAAGAUGCUUUUGGGCUUUUCUUUUUGCCUCCAUUGUAUUCCUUUUAUGUUUUUUAUUUUCAGCUAUUAGUUUCACCGCUUGUGUAAAGGUAAAUGAUGACGAUCAUAUUCCAUCCUUCCACCUGAAUCCUAACCUGAACACCAGACAUGGGCUUGAUGCUGUGAAAUUCUGACAUCACUAUAAUCAACCAAAUGACAUGUUCCUCUUGUAACUCCUCAUUUAUUUACUUUUAAUUUUACAGCUAAAUCAGUGCUUUGCAGUUUUGUUGCCAUAGCUUUGAUUAUCACCAAGGGAGAAGAGAACAACGGCCAUGUCGUGUAGGAUUGUGAUUCAUAACCUUUGCAUGUACUAAACUAUAGCACAGUAAUUUUUUAGGGUAUUUUAGUUUCCUUAGGCUGUGGAUACAGUGUAAUUUUCAUUUUAAGUAAAACUGUGCUUAAAUGUUACAUGUUUCCCCUUACCUUACUCCUCACUAUUGUCUGAUUUGCUAAAUAAUCUGUAUGGUUUUGCACAUGUACUGCAAAGUGAGGCCUGACUUUUUUCUGAAGGUGUGUUGGUGGGUUUCAUAGGUUUUAGCCUGCCAACCUCCUCUACAUUAUGCAUCACUCAACCACAGUCUUUGUUGUCUUUCUAGAGUGAUCUAAUGAUGCUUUUUAGUUAUACUUGAGAAAAUAAUUACUUUAUUUCAGGAGAAGCAGUAAUGAAUCUGCUAAUGUAUCUCAGCUUGACUUAGAAGGGGAUUUAACCUCCUUUUUCUCAUGGUAAAAGGUGUCCCACAUGUCAGGCUGGAGUUAUUUUAAAUGGGUUUUCCUGAAUAACAAAUAAACCCAUGAACAGGUUUGCUGUAACGUAAGUAUCUUGCAGAAUCCUCAGCCCCAUACCCCUUUCCUCUAUCAGCUAAAUGUACAAGCUUACCCUCUUUAUUUUAUUUUUUUUUAACUUCAAACACUGUAGUAAUACAUAUUGUGCGCAUAAACCUUCUGUUGAACAUAGGGGUAUUUUUGUUUUGUUUUUGCAGCAUUCCUUGUUAGCAAACGUGGUUUCAAGUAUAAAAUAACGACCUGGAAGCGGGGGAAAAGUGGUUUGCCUAACCGUUUUUGGAGAUAGGCCACAGGACAGGUUGUCUUCGAGAAAAUAAAUAGUGAAACCCAAACUCUGAAACUGUGUGUGUGUGUGUGCUCUUCAGUGAAAAUGCUGUGUGGUUAAUCCUCCUGAGGUUCUAGUUGUGUAAUUUUUUUUCUAUUGACAUUCAAAUUCUUUUUUCUAUCGAAAUGUAAACUUGUAUUCAAAUUUAGAGAAGGUGCAAUCUUAUUAGCUAAAGGGGCCUUUUGUCCGCAUGCGCACUACGAAAAGUAAAAACGUUGCUUUGGGAAACUCGGAAAUGUGAACUUUUUGAUUCAAUGGCGUGGCACAUCCAAACUUAAUAAAUGUCUUGUAUUUUUAUCUAGAUAUUAGUAGGCUACUUAAUUUUAGGUGUAAAUUUGUUUUUUAAACAGGCUAGAUCAGAUUUUUUAAAAAACCAUACAAUCUACACGUGACUGUGCAAAUCAUUGUUGCAUAAAGGCUGCCUUAAAGCAGAAAAAUAUAAAACUGGACAUGAUGUAACAUUUUUACACAAAUGACCGCUGUUGCAUUGUGGGAUAACGAUAGUUUCGACUUUACGCAAUGUACCUGAAGGCAUCAGGAGAAGAAACAGGAAAUGAAAGCUUUAUGUGCUGAGUUAUCGCCGAACAGAGGUUUGUGGAGCAAUUUGAACCAGAGGAAGUCUGCUGAGCCAAGACAAACAGGUCAAUCAAGUUUUCUCAGUAGCUCGAGGCAGUCUAGACAACCCUACCUGGAGGCUUCCAAAGCCUAUGACCCCCCCCCCCCCCCCCCCCCCUCUCAUCCAGUGAAGGAGCUUCAAAUGUGUAAAUCCACAAAUGUUCAGUGUUAAUAU
Molecule: long non-coding RNA, 2799 nt
Organism: Melanotaenia boesemani (Boeseman's rainbowfish)
Lineage: Eukaryota; Metazoa; Chordata; Actinopteri; Atheriniformes; Melanotaeniidae
Exons: 2
Source: RefSeq, a predicted model, not a curated record